Molecule: small RNA, 362 nt
Filed under: Pan troglodytes (chimpanzee)
Lineage: Eukaryota; Metazoa; Chordata; Mammalia; Primates; Hominidae
Description: processed transcript
Source: RNAcentral
UGCAGGCCUUUCUGGAGUCCUGCCCUCCUGACCUACGGGCUGACUGUGCCUCAGGCAUCCUGCUGGCUGCAGAGAGACACCAUCCUGCAUGUGCUGACAACGGCGGGCACCCAUGUGCGGGAUGAUGCAGUGGCCAACCUGACCCAGCUGAUUGGGGGGGCCCAGGAGCUACAUGCCUACUCUGUGCGCCGCCUCUACAAUGCCCUGGCAGAAGACAUUUCCCAGCAACCACUGGUGCAGGUGGCAGCCUGGUGCAUUGGGGAGUAUGGGGACCUCCUGCUGGCGGGGAACUGCGAGGAGAUUGAGCCCCUUCAGGUGGACGAAGAGGAAGUGCUGGCAUUGCUGGAAAAGGUGCUGCAGUC